RNAcentral lists this ribosomal RNA (465 nucleotides) under uncultured bacterium. RNAcentral's name for it is "bacterial SSU rRNA". It matches the Rfam family "Bacterial small subunit ribosomal RNA", at positions 926 to 1391 of the family's 1533-position model. The record is from RNAcentral.
CGGACGGGGGAGCAUGUGUUUUAAUUCGAUGCAACGCGAACAACCUUACCUGGCCUUGACAUCGACUGAAGUUUUCAAAAAUGAAAAUGUGCCUUCCGGAACCGAGAUACAGGGGCUGCAUGGCUGUCCUCCGCUCGUGUUGUGAAAUGUUGGGUUAAGUCCCGCAACGAGCCCAACCCUUAUCCUUUGUUUCUUUCGGUCCGGCCGGGAACUCAAAGGAGACUGCCAGUGAUAAACUGGAGGAAGGUGGGGAUGACGUCAACUCCUCAUGGCCCUUACCACCAGGGCUACACACGUGCUACAAUGGCGCAUACAAAGAGAAGCGACCUCGCGAGAGCAAGCGGACCCCAUCAAGCGCGUCCUAUUCCGGAUUGGAGUCUGCCACUCCACUCCAUGAAGUCGGAGUCGCUAUUAAUCGUGAAUAAGAAUGCCACGGUGAAUACGUUUCCGUGCCUUGUACUCCCC